ACUAGGUACUUGGCUGUUUACUUCAUCUUGUUCUCAUAUGGCCACCUAGUGACCGGUACAUAAACAUUUCAGGUGCUGCCAUAUGGUGUGAAGGAUUAAAGAAUUUGACUUGCCCUCUUUGGUGAAUUUUUGGUCUCCUAUUAUCAAAGAGGAAGAAACAAUUUUGGCUGCCACUUAGUUGCCUCGGAGAGUGGGCUCGCUGCCCUGGGCCCGGUGGCCGAUCAGAUACGGGCCGCGACUUUUGGCCCGGAAGAAGAGGCCCGAUGCCAUUUUUUCCAUGCACAUUUUAUUUUUUUUAGUUUUUCAUUUUAUUGCCUAUGUAACGCUAUUCGAAAAUUCAUGAUAUUCUACAAUGUAAAUUUC
Molecule: non-coding RNA, 363 nt
Organism: Salvia hispanica
Lineage: Eukaryota; Viridiplantae; Streptophyta; Magnoliopsida; Lamiales; Lamiaceae
Source: RefSeq, a predicted model, not a curated record